AUGAAGAUAUUCGUUGCUAGGGAAGCCGCGUCUCCAGUUGUUAAGAUGGCGAGGCCGAGGGUUGUCCCGGAGAACACCGCGGAUUCUAAUGCAUUUCCUGCAGAGUUUUACCACUGAUGGCCUGCGAGGAAGUUGAUCUGCGAGUGCAAGUUACUGCGGCAUCCAACUUUAAUGGAGCGUUGUCAAAAAUGGUGUUAAUCCCGCCGCCGAGUCCCGAGAAGUGCCGGGUCCGGACGGAGGGCACAACCCGGCCGGGGACUGAUUGAGGCGGAGAAAAACCUUCGACAAGCCUGAAGCCAGCCUCAGGAUGCAAAUGCAACGAACCGAGUCCUACUCAAAUAUAAAAACUCAGUUGGAGCCAGAAUGGAAUGAAGAACAGCAAAGAUUACUGGAAGCACAAAAAACAAAUAGGACUAAAGCUCGUAAAUUUACAUUGCAGACAAUCCGCAGGCAGAAAAUUUUGUAUUCCUUACAGAGCCCUCGAGGAGAAGCGCAGAGAAGAUGAGGAAAAAGAACAAAGAUUUAGGGAGGAGGUACUUCAAGAGCGAAAACUGAAGCAACAAGAUGCAACUGAGAGAUUUCAAAGAUCCCAUCUCCUCUCAUCACAACGCAGGCAAUAUAUAAUUGGCCAUAGAAACCAAUCCAUUCAAUUAGAUGCAGCUCUUGAACAGAUUCAUGGUUCAUUUUAUAUGUCAACUUCUCCAUCAUCUGCUGUUGCAGAGCCCACAGUCUUCACAGGGACCACUUGUUUAUCUCCAAAUCCACCAGCUUACAGGCCAGCUACAAAUGUUUACCAUCACAAGAGUCAACUUUCAGCAGCUAAGGCUUAUGCCAAGCUUAUGCAAGAGAAAAGUGGUGUAAAUUUGAAAAACAGUCGGUUACGCUUUCAGCAGGAGCUGCAGGAGACACAGCGUCUCCUGGGAGAGCAACAACUGAAUAGUUUACAGGAAUUCCAAAAAGAAAUCAAUCAACUUAAUCAGACUCAAAGCUUAUCAAGCCUUGACAGCCUAGAAAUUGAAGAACAAAAUGCCGUACACACAUCAUCUUUGAAACAUUUUAUUGCCUCUGGUAAGAAAGAGUUUCAUCCUCUAAAAGCAGCACAUAUAAGUGCCUGGAUUAAUAACCUGGAUAAUAGCAGAACUCCUAUUUCGUCUCCUGAGAAUGCAAUAACAAAUGGAACUGAAGUUUCAACUAUAGAAGAAUAUUUGACUGAUAAGCAACACACAUUUGCUUCCAAAAGUACUGAAUCUAAAUGUCCUGACUUAACCUCUGUUUCUUCUACUGAAAUACAUCAAAAUGUAUAUUCAACCAAAUGUUAUAACAGCAAUCAACAUAAAGAAUCAGACAGUAAUUUCCACUCAGUACAAAGACAUCCAACAUACAUGGACCCUUCUGAAAGUCCAAAGGGCCAGUCUGCUCAUUCUGCAAUAACUCCUUGCAUUGCCUGGUCCACACCAGAUCCAACACCCAGAGAAACAACACAAUCUUCAGGAGUGAACGGCGGAUUCGAUUUUGUGCACCACAGAGAGUCUGCAUCAAUUCAUCCAUCAAAACUGCCUUCAGCAACCCCUAUCUUUUUAGCCUUAAGUCAGGUGUCACAAAUGAAUCGUGGCAGAGGAAAAACUGACAGCGCAAAAGAUAGUCAAAAAAUCCAAGAAGCACACUUAAUGCCAUGUGUUGGUACAACUAGUAAAUCUCCUAAUUCUCUUCUCACUUUGAACCAAAAUACUGAUACUUACAGUGAAACUGAAGAAAACCAAACUUCACUCAACAAAUAUAAUUUUAAAGUCAAAAUCAGCCAUGAUUCUGUAGCAGCCAGUCAGAAUGCUGUUUCGUCUCAAGCAAAGUUUCAUUCGUCAGAAUCUGAUUCUGGAAUUAAUAUCACAGAAGGAAAAGAAAAUGAGCCAGUAACAUAUUCAUCAAUGUUCAGCAGCAAAUUAAAAGACAACAAGAACUCUAUCCAUGAAAAAAAAAUCAAUUCUUUGAAGGGGAUACUUAAGAAAGUAUCAAAGUAUGGAAAUGGUAAAAACAAAUCUCCAUUGUCUGCCAGUAAUGUGCUCGGUAUUCACAUUGCAUCCUCUAUCAGAGAUAGCGUGGAGCUUAAAAAAAUGAAACAAGUGGAAACUGAUAAAAAACCAACAAAGAAAACGCUGAGAUGGCUGGAUGAGAUUGACCUAAUCAACCAGUUUAAGAAGGGGGAAGAUGAAUCUAUUGGAGAAGAAGCGGGAAGUACAGCAGACAUUAAAUAUUCAGGAUUAACAAAUCCGACUCAAUUACAAUCAUCCUAUUUUCCAAAUAAUGGUCAUAUUGUUAAUGUUCAGUCAAAUGUGAACAAUAACAAAGAAUCAAAAUGGAACACAGAUCAAAAGAUUGCUGCAAAUUAUGACCUAUCUGGCCUUCAGUUGAAUGAAACCCAGGGAAACAUAACAAUCGGAGCGCCUGUAAUUUCAGAAACGGUUUCUGCGACCAAUGGAAUAGUUUCAGAUGUGUCAUCCGAUGACCAUUUUACUAAACAGUCUUGGACAGUGCCAGGAACUAGAAACAGAGAUCACAAAAUGAAUGCAAGAAAUAAUAUUACUGAACCUGAAAAAUCUUUCGGAGGAAAAGGACAAACCAAAAUGGUUAAAAGACCUCAUUCAGCUAAAGUUUUUUCUGGUACGGGAAGCAACUGCAGGAAAGGCACCAUAAUCAAACCAAUAUCCGGCAGUGAAAUAAUUAUAUCUCAGGGUAAAAUCAUGGUGCCCCACCCACCACCCAAACCACCAAAUGACAGCAAGCAGAUUCAAAGGAUAUCUAUCAAUUAUAAUAGCAAUUGCCAAUCACAGAUGCAUCCUGCGCAUGUUGUUGACAUAUGUUCCAACACACCGAUGAAAAGCAAGCCGUUAGAUAAAGACACCAUUGAAAAUGCAAUCAUCUCAGGCCUUCAGCCUCAGGUACAUUCUUCAAGAAAUAGGUAUUUUAAUAUCACAGCAUUUCCUUCCUCCUAUUCAGUCCGCUCAUAUGAAACUGCUAAUAAAGAAACCUAUUCAGUCAAUGCUACACAAGAUGAAAAUGUAACCAAUGGCACCAAACAAGACACGGGUUAUGGAGAGAACACUAUACAUUUGGAAUCCACACCAACGCAUGAACAAAUUGCACUGCUUUGGCACGGUGUGCGUGAUGCCUUGGUACAAAGGGAUAUCACAUCUGGUAACUCUCAAAACAGCUUAUUAUCUUGGAAUAAAGACCAUCAAACAAAUCUGCAAUCUCACCGACCUAAUGUCCCUCAUUUGACCAUUGAUGGAGGCAGCUUGUUGAAUGGCACACAAUCAGAUUCCAGAGGAGGACAAUUAUUUUCUGCUCCUUCUGGAGCUAGAAGAAAGAACCCCGUGCCUGCAUACAGUAAUGGAGCGAAAUACAGAGCUCUUCUUCAGCAAAGAAGAAUAAUUAGCAGUCCAUUUGCAAAUAAAUCUGAUCAAAUGGGACAGAAAAUUCAGAUUCAACCAAUUCAAAGUGUCUUUAAUCCUGUAAAUGCCUCUCAGAACACCAAAGAAGAAGUUUCAGAAAGCACCGAACAGUUUAUGCUAGCAGAAAACCUCGUAGAAACAUCUGCUAUGGAUACUGACAUAUUAGCUGCUAUGGACGCAGUAAAAACACAACAACAUGUCUUUCUUCAAAACAAAGUAAAACGAUUAGGCCUCAGUGCAUUGUCCUUUGAAGAACAGAAACUCCUUCAGUCAUUAGAUCGUCUCAAUCAAAGGUUGAAGAAUAUCCAAGAAACGAUUGAAGCAAGCCCACGUAAUGAUCUUCUGCAGUUUCCAUCUCCUGUUAUCACACCUUUUGGUGUCAUUGGCUCAGGGUCUAGGCCCGUGCGAGUCAUUUCUGGAACCCCAAAACAUCACAAUGUUACUGCUUAUAACCAUGCGCACAUUGAAAGCCAAUACUCAAGAAACAAGACAAGCUGACCAUUAUGAAUAGCUACAUAUGAGUUACUACACAUAUCCACUUUAUUCUGAGCUUCUUCCUACUGACAAUGGCUCACUGUUCCCCUGUAUCCUCCUCUUCUCAUCUACCCAUGCUUCAAGUGGGGGAACCAUCACUUUCUAUAAUGCUAUUUGGAUCUGUGGAAUGAAUUUCAUCUCAACUUGCAACUAUGAAGUUCUUUCUCUUUAGGAGAUACUGGACUGGGUUCAACUAUCACUCUUCAGAUCGAACCGACGUUAACCAAAAUCAAAACAUACUAAUUCAAUGCCAUAAUGGUAGCAAAAGGAAGGUGAAAAAUUGGAUGAGAUCAAAAAGAGAAAGGAAAAAUGACUAAAAGGGAUUAAGACAUUUAAGUUAAAUUUGAGUCUAGAAAUCCAAUUUGCACAAAACAAUUUAUUUUCUGGUGUUAUGGAGUGAAAGUAAGAUUCUAUAAAGGAUGAGUAAUGUUUUUGACUCUAUUUUAAUAUAAAUCGUUCUUUCUCUGUUUUGUCUCUCAAUCUUUCUCUUGUAUCCAUUCCUUGUCUCUCCCUUUGUGUCUGAUGCAGUAUAUGCAUUAUAUUUCUGUUAAUAUAAAACUAUUAAGAACCACUUUUGUCUUUUGCUCAAUGACUAUACUCAAUAGCGAAGCUGAGCUGGAAUCACAUAACUGGUUUCCCCCCAUGAACAGAAACAUCAGGUGUUCUAAGUCUUUGCACCUUUAAACAUAAUUAAAUGAAUUUGACUCUCUACCAAAACACUCAACAGAUUUUAGCCAAUAGAAAUAAUUUAUGUAACACACUAUGAAAUACUUAUUAAGCUUGUGCAUCUAUGUGAAUAUGUGAAUUUUGUUUGAUUUUCAUUAUGAUGUUCUAAAUUUAAAUAUAUUCAUUAAUAAAUAUUGAACAAGGAUGAUUUGUAUUUUAUUAAUCAUGUGAACAUUGUAAUUGUAACAUUGUAAUGUACAUUUUUGAAAUCACUAAAAUGUA
Molecule: RNA transcript, 4928 nt
Organism: Amblyraja radiata (thorny skate)
Lineage: Eukaryota; Metazoa; Chordata; Chondrichthyes; Rajiformes; Rajidae
Gene: cep126
Gene name: centrosomal protein 126
Exons: 13
Source: RefSeq, a predicted model, not a curated record